GUAGCUAAUACCGCAUAACGUCGCAAGACCAAAGAGGGGGACCUUCGGGCCUCUUGCCAUCGGAUGUGCCCAGAUGGGAUUAGCUAGUAGGUGGGGUAACGGCUCACCUAGGCGACGAUCCCUAGCUGGUCUGAGAGGAUGACCAGCCACACUGGAACUGAGACACGGUCCAGACUCCUACGGGAGGCAGCAGUGGGGAAUAUUGCACAAUGGGCGCAAGCCUGAUGCAGCCAUGCCGCGUGUAUGAAGAAGGCCUUCGGGUUGUAAAGUACUUUCAGCGAGGAGGAAGGGGGUGGGGUUAAUAACCGCAGCGAUUGAAGUUACUCGCAGAAGAAGCCCCGGCUAACUCCGUGCCA
Molecule: ribosomal RNA, 356 nt
Filed under: Citrobacter freundii
Lineage: Bacteria; Pseudomonadati; Pseudomonadota; Gammaproteobacteria; Enterobacterales; Enterobacteriaceae
Description: bacterial SSU rRNA
Rfam family: Bacterial small subunit ribosomal RNA
Source: RNAcentral